UACGUAGGGGGCGAGCGUUAUCCGGAUUUACUGGGUGUAAAGGGAGCGUAGACGGUUUUUCAAGUCUGAAGUGAAAGCCCGCGGCUCAACUGCGGAACGGCUUUGGAAACUGAGGGACUAGAGUGCUGGAGGGGCAGGCGGAAUUCCUGGUGUAGCGGUGAAAUGCGUAGAUAUAAGGAAGAACACCAGUGGCGAAGGCGGAUAACUGGACGGCAACUGACGGUGAGGCGCGAAAGCGUGGGGAGCAAACAGG
This 253-nucleotide ribosomal RNA is filed under the name uncultured Lachnospiraceae bacterium. Its description in RNAcentral is "partial 16S ribosomal RNA". It matches the Rfam family "Bacterial small subunit ribosomal RNA", at positions 524 to 776 of the family's 1533-position model. Lineage: Bacteria; Bacillati; Bacillota; Clostridia; Lachnospirales; Lachnospiraceae. The record is from RNAcentral.